UAGCAUCUGAAGUGGAAGAAAACAUAGCUGAGCCUUUCACUUUCCCUCUCUAACCACAACAAUUGGAGGAGACUUCAGCCUGAAAAAUCUAUCUGCUACUAAAUGGUACCCAGAUGGAAAUCACAGCUGCUCUCUGGUACCAGCUGUACCUAUGCCCAUCCAUCUUCAGAACAUGCCUGCGACUGAGGAGAGAGAAAAAUUGGGUUGACAGAGCAGUUAAAGAGCCUCUCUUUUCUUCUGCACACUUUUCCUUUUAUCUUUUUCCCUUCAGUUUCAGAGCUCCUUGUUCUCACCUUCAUGCUGUAGCAGCGUUGACAAAAGAAAACUGCAGCCUUGGAAAACCAGUGGAAUUUCAUUGCAAAGAUUGUGCUGGGAAAGUUUCUCUCUCCCACCAACAAGUAUUUUGGAGGAAGGAACCUUGAACACCUGGAGGAAUAUUCAAGAUUUAACUUAACAAAUAAGUAGCAUCCACGGUCUUCACAUUAGGACAGCUUGUUAGAAUUUGAGUCUCGCUUUCAGCUGGCAAUAUGCGGUACAAUCCUCUCUCAUGACGCUGGACGGCGGCAGUGAGUGCAGCUCCCGGGUCAGCCCCGCAAUAACCAGGGUAAACAACUGGUACACUGACAACCUUUCUCUUCAGUACAGUAUUCAGUAAAUUACAUGAGAUAUUCAAUACUUCAUUAUAAAAUAGGCUUCGUGCUAGAUGAUUUUGCCCAACCAUAGGCUAAUGUCAGUGUUCUGAGCACGUUUAAGGUAGACUAGGCUAAGGUAGGAUGCUUGGGAGGUUAGGUGUAUUGAAUGCAUUUCGACUUAUGAUAUAUUCAACUUACGAUUCAUCUGGAGUAACCCCAUUGUAAGUCAAGGAAGAUCUGUACAAAGAUGAGAAAGACACAAUGCUGCCCUCAAGGAGCUUAUGAUUCAUUCUGUGUCAACACAAUUCUGAAGCUUCAAUACAAACUGACACAACCAAGAGAAUUAGCCAGAGGACCAACUGUUUUCAAAAUAUACACUCAUUUCACCAAAGCCAGGAAUUUUCCUUUUCAAAGCAUAAUUAUACUUUAUACAAGGAGACAGCCAUUAGCACUAGUGAAAAUGUGUCACCUAAUUUAUAGACAUCAAAGUUGAAAAUCUUCACAAGUCAUUGGGAAAAAACAUCUUUAGUCUCAGUUUGCAGAUGAAAGUGAAAUGCCGUGUGUUCACUGCCAUGUGGGUGUCUUUCUGCAGACCUGCCACUAAGCAGGCAUAACCUUCAGGGGAGAAGGCAAACUGGAAAACGAGGUGAGAAGUAGGAGAGUCUUGGGAAGCUAAUGGAGAGAGUUGUUUAGUGUAAAAGUUUCUGUCUGCACACACAGCAACACUCACAUGGUUAGAACAAAGAGUAAUUGCAGCAUGCUUUAUUAAUUGAAAGUAAAUGCUCUCUUUGUGAAAUGGCUUGAUACUGAAAAACCAAACACAUGAUAAAAGGACUUGCACAGCCAGCAGAGAAACCUCAGCUUUGAAAGAUCUGCCAGGAAGGAGAAAGUUUAGAAUGGAUUUGUUUUCUGGCUCCUCACAACAAAUAAACCACCAAGGGAGCCCCAAGCAUCUGAAUAAUGAAUCAAUCUCCCUGUUGUUGCCCCUCUCCCUCUUGGUCUCCCUCUCCCCUAUCCUCUCCCCCUCCUCCCCUCACUCCCCCUCCCUCUUGCUCUUCUCUCUUCUCAUAUGUGUGUUGGAAAAUGGUAAGCAAGUAACCGGGGAGUUGCUAUAUUUUGGGUCCUCUCAUUCAUGAGGCAACUAGUACCUGAAAAAAAAAAUGAAUUCCAUACAUCCUUCCCAAAGAACUAGG
This is a long non-coding RNA of Equus caballus (horse), 1825 nucleotides long. RefSeq lists it as uncharacterized. NCBI's taxonomy places the organism in Eukaryota, Metazoa, Chordata, Mammalia, Perissodactyla, Equidae. The record is from RefSeq and is a predicted model, not a curated record.